This 461-nucleotide ribosomal RNA is filed under the name uncultured soil bacterium. RNAcentral's name for it is "bacterial SSU rRNA". It matches the Rfam family "Bacterial small subunit ribosomal RNA", at positions 26 to 483 of the family's 1533-position model. The record is from RNAcentral.
AGAGUGAACGCUGGCGGUAGGCCUAACACAUGCAAGUCGAACGGCAGCACAGUGGUAGCAAUACCAUGGGUGGCGAGUGGCGGACGGGUGAGGAAUACAUCGGAAUCUACCUUUUCGUGGGGGAUAACGUAGGGAAACUUACGCUAAUACCGCAUACGCCCUUUGGGGGAAAGCCGGGGAUCGCAAGACCUGGCGCGGAUAGAUGAGCCGAUGUCGGAUUAGCUAGUUGGUGAGGUAAUGGCUCACCAAGGCGACGAUCCGUAGCUGGUCUGAGAGGAUGAUCAGCCACACUGGAACUGAGACACGGUCCAGACUCCUACGGGAGGCAGCAGUGGGGAAUAUUGGACAAUGGGCGCAAGCCUGAUCCAGCCAUACCGCGUGGGUGAAGAAGGCCUUGGUGUAAGCCCGUUUGUGGUAAGAAAGCAAUCGGUUAAUACCCGGUUGUUCGUAGACGGUACCAA